Cinara cedri is the source of this 395-nucleotide non-coding RNA. Lineage: Eukaryota; Metazoa; Arthropoda; Insecta; Hemiptera; Aphididae. The record is from the annotation of a GenBank genome assembly.
CACUUAUUAAUAAUGAACUUAUAAUAUUAUGAAAAUAAUUAUCAAUAAUAUUACAGUAAACUUUAAUAAUAACUAAUAAUAAUAGCAAAUAAAGUUUGAAUACGAAAUAGUGAAUAUAAUUUUGUGCUACUAUGUUUAUUUCAGUUCAUUAAGUUUAUGUAUUUAAACUCUUAUAUUGUAAUAUUGCUGUAAUGAAAUUGAGACUUUGGAUCUUGUGUGGAACUAAAGAAAAACAAAAAAAAAACAAAUAAUGUUANUUAUUAAAUUUAUUACAUACAUGAUAUUAAGUAUGUAAUUUAACAAUGAUACAUACUUAUUAAUAAUGAACUUAUAAUAUUAUCAAAAUAAUUAUAAUAUUGCUGUAAUGAAAUUGAGACUUUGGAUCUUGUGUGGAU